RNAcentral lists this unclassified non-coding RNA (146 nucleotides) under soil metagenome. RNAcentral's name for it is "partial internal transcribed spacer 1". The record is from RNAcentral.
CCGAGCUUACAACUCCCAAACCCCUGUGAACAUACCUAUAUGUUGCCUCGGCGGAUCAGCCCGCGCCCCGUAAAACGGGACGGCCCGCCGCAGGAUCCACAAACUCUGUUUUUAUUGUAACUUCUGAAUAACAAAACAAAUAAUCA